RNAcentral lists this ribosomal RNA (292 nucleotides) under uncultured bacterium. RNAcentral's name for it is "partial 16S ribosomal RNA". It matches the Rfam family "Bacterial small subunit ribosomal RNA", at positions 505 to 796 of the family's 1533-position model. The record is from RNAcentral.
GUGCCAGCAGCCGCGGUAAGACAGAGGGUGCAAACGUUGUUCGGAAUUACUGGGCGUAAAGCGCGUGUAGGCUGCUCUGCAAGUCGGAUGUGAAAGCCCUGGGCUCAACCUAGGAAGUGCACUCGAAACUGCAGAGCUUGAGUCUCGGAGAGGGUCGCGGAAUUCUCGGUGUAGAGGUGAAAUUCGUAGAUAUCGAGAGGAACACCGGUGGCGAAGGCGGCGACCUGGACGAUGACUGACGCUGAGACGCGAAAGCGUGGGGAGCAAACAGGAUUAGAUACCCGCGUAGUCC